Peromyscus californicus insignis is the source of this 7366-nucleotide long non-coding RNA. RefSeq lists it as uncharacterized. The record is from RefSeq and is a predicted model, not a curated record. NCBI's taxonomy places the organism in Eukaryota, Metazoa, Chordata, Mammalia, Rodentia, Cricetidae. The transcript has 2 exons.
UCUUAUUUUUUUUUUCCUUACCUCCUUAGAAUCUGACAGGCCAGAGAGAAUUCUGAUUUCAAAGGGAUGCUUACAUUCUGUACUGAUGCGGUCUAGGAAUGUAAAUGUUCAGUGUCACACUGCUAAGAAAGGAAAUCUCUCUGUAGUCAUACUGAAAGAUGGUAAUAGAGGAAGACAUCACUUUGAGUAGCUGUUCAUAAAUGGAAGAACCUUCCUCAGCACUGAAGAAGCCAAGAAAGACAUCACAGCUGUUGCUUUAGCAUAUGAGAAAAAGAAUCAUUGGAGGAAACAGAAAAAGAUCUGCCCAGGUUCGUUGCAACCCCCAGUUCUAAGCUGCAGAGGUAUGACUUUCAGUUUGAAUGAAGGAGAAAGAAUACAGCAUGGGUCUUAGAUUUGGAAGCCAAUAUUGAAUCCAGAAUGGAGAACAUCAGUACCUACAAGAGUCCCACGAUCCCUGGCUGAAGGCCAGUGUCUGUAAAGGAAGCCUCUGAAUUAGCAUCUAUCUGAUAGCACGGGAACUGCCAGAGUUAGCCCAAACAAGAGCAUGGAAAAAGACUCCAUUCAUUUGAAGAUGGGACGAACAAGUAUGCCUAGGACUUUACAUUCAAGGAAGCGCUUACUGCAGUGAAAAUGAACACCUAGCAAAUAUCUGUAAAACAGCUGCCCAUGCCAAAGCUGAUGGACAUGGGCUCUGGCCCCAACCUGUUAGAGUCAUGAGGUCCCAGUGGGAUGGACUUGUAUUCUAACCAGCACUACUUCUGGCAAAUGCAGAUUUCUUCAGACACAACUCUGGACUCCAGAAACAUGGCCCUGGAGCCUAUCCUUCUGUUUGUUGUUAAUGGUGGGCUCUGAUGAUCCACUAUGAACUUGUGUUGUAGAUCUGGGAGUUAAAAGGCUUCCAGGUUCGUUUUUACCACAACUCCAACAACCACAAAGGAGAAACCCACUAGCUGCUUGGGAAAAGAGAAAGGGGGUAAAUGUGAGUGAUGGCGAAGGGCCCUAGAGCCAGACUCACCACCAGAGGGUCCCACAUCAGAAGAAUUUUAUGGCUCCUGACCCAAGAAUGGAAUUAGGAGAUAAGGCUGGACCCAUUCCAGCCUGAAGUAGGGAUUUGGGGAUACAGGACAUCCCUUUGAAACACAGCCUCCCUCAGUCUUGAAUAGCACACUACUUGUAGAUUUAUGACAGACUUGGUGUGGAAGCGCCCUCUAGUGAUGAAAUAGCUGCAUUUAACAACAGGCUCAGAGAAAAGCAUCCAGGAACCCUUAGAAACAAACAUGGAUUACGAAAAUGAGAACAUAUAGCUAAUCUUUCAGUAUGUGUAUGUCUUUAUUUUUGUAUUUUCUCUUAUUGAAAAUAGUUUUUUUUUCUUUUUUCUUUUUUUUUUUAGGUUUUUUGAGACAGGGUUUCUCUGUGCAGCUUUGCGCCUUUCCUGGAUCUCGCUCUCUAGACCAGGCUGGCCUCGAACUCACAAAGAUCCGCCUGCCUCUGCCUCCCGAGUGCUGGGAUUAAAGGCGUGCGCCACCACCGCCCGGCGAAAAUAGUUUUUUAAUCAAGAAUUUUUUUAUUCAUUUUAUAUACCAAUCAUAGAUUCUCCUCUCUUCCCUCCUCCCGCCCACCCCCAGCUUUCUCCCUCAAUCCAUCCCCUCAUCCCCUUCUCCGAAAAGAUAAGACCUCCCAUGGGGAGUCAGCACAGCUUGGUACAUUCAACUGAGGUGGGGACAAGCCGCUCCUGCUACAUCAAGACUGUGCAAGGUGUCCCAUCAUAGGUAAUGGGCUCCAAAAUGCCAACUCAUGCAUCAGGGAUGGACCCUGAUCUUACUGCCAGGGGGCCCCUUAAGCAGAUCAAACUACACAACUGUCUCGCUUAUGCAGAGGGCCUAGACUAGUCCCAUGGAACCUCCACAACUGUUGGUCUAAAUGUCAUGAGUUCCCACUAGUUUGGUUUGGUCGUCUCUGUAGAUUUCCCCAUCAUGAUCUUAAUGCCCCUUACUCAUAGAAUCCCUCUUCUCUCUCUUUGACUGGACUCCUGGAGCUCAGCCUGGUGUUUGGCUAUGGAUCUCUGCAUCUGCUUCCAUCAGUUACUGGAUGAAGGCUCUAUAAUGACAGUUAGGGUAUUCACUGAUCUGAUUACUGGGGUAAGUCACCUCAGACCCUCUCUCUACUAUUGCUAGUUAUCUCAACUGGGGUCAUCCUGGUGGAUUCUUGGGAACUUCCCUAGCACCAGGUUUCUCUCUGUCUCCAUGAUGUCUCCCUCUAUCAAGGUAUCUUUUCCAUUGCUCUUUCAUUCCAUCCCUGUUCCAGCUUGACCAUCCCAUUCCCUUAUGUUCUCAUCCCCCAUCCCCUGCCCUCCAUUGCCCACCCCUCAUCCCCAGUUUACUCAUGUAGCUCUCAUUUAUUUACCCUUCCCAGGGAGAUUCAUGCUUCCCUCUUUAGGUCCUCCUUGUUAGUUAGAGUCUCUGGAGCUGUGGGUUUUAGUCUCAUUAUCCUUUGCUUUACAUUUAGUAUCUACUUAUGAGUGAGUACAUACCAUGUUUGUCCUUCUGAGUCUGGGUUAUUUCACUCAAGAUAUUUUCUAGUUCCAUCCUUUUGCCUGCAGAUUUCAUGAUGUCAUUGUUUUUAAUUGCUGAAUAGUACUCCAUUGUGUGUAUGAACCACAUUUUCUUCAUCCAUUCUUCAGUUGAGGGGCAUCUAGGUUGUUUCCAGGUUCUGGCUAUUAUGAAUAAUGCUGCUAUGAACAUAGUUGAGCAAGUGUCCUUGUGGUAUGAUUGAACAUUCCUUGGAUAUUUGCCCAAGAGUAGUAUCAUUGGGUCUUGAGGUAGAUUGAUUCCUAAUUUUCUGAGACACCACCACACUGAUUUCUAAAGUGGCUGUACAAGUUUGCACUCCACCUGUAGCACAAAUCUUAAAGAGUCUUGUUAAUAAAAACAAACCUGGAGCCAGGUAUUGGGGUGAAUGCUGGAAGAUCAGAGAAGCAGAACAAGCCACAGUCACCUCACCUUGCCAAUUCCUCAGCUGAUCCUGUUUCCUCAGACUGUAAGCUUCUGAGUCCUCAUCCAAAUAGAUCUCAGCUGAACUGCUUUUCGAAAGCCUGAAAGCUUAACCAGCCUAGUUCCUGGUUUUCACGCCUUAUAUACCUUUCUGCUUUCUGCCAUUACUUCCUAGGUUUAAAGGCUCUUGUUACCAUGCCUGGCUCUUUCCAGUGUGGCCUUGAACUCACACAGAUCCAAAUGGAUCUCUGCCUCCCAAGUGAUACGAUUAAAGGCAUGUGUGUAACCAUUUUCCAGCCUCUAUAUCUAGUGGCUGUUCUGUUCUCUAACCCCAGAUAAGUUUAUUAGGGUGCACAAUAUUUUGGGGAACACAAUACCACCACACCCAUCAACAGUGGAGGAAUAUUCCCCCCUGCUCCACAUCUUCUCCAAUAUUAGCUGUCUUCAGUGUUUUUGAUCUUAGCCAUUCUGACAGGUGUAAGAUGGUAUCUAAGAGCCGUUUUUAUUUGCAUUUCCCAGAUGACUAAGGAUGUUGAGCAAUUCCUUAAAUGUCUUUCAGCCAUUUGAGAUUCUUCUGUUGAGAAUUCUCUGUUUAGCUCUGUAGCCCAUUUUUUAAAUUGCAUGUUUUUUUGUUACUGACUUAUAGUUUUGUCACACUGUUCAGAGUGGAUAUUUGGUAUAAUGUUAUUUUAAGAAUCAUUUGUGGCUGACCACUUUCUGUAUCCUCAAGAGUGUUCCAUGUGCUAUGGAUUCAAAUGCAUGUUCUUUUGGUGUUAAAUGGCAUGCCCCUCCAGCUUAACUAAGCUUUGACUGAAUGGUCCGCUCCUUGUUGAAAGUGGGUACUCAUGUCCCCUCUUCUUACUGUAAUCUACUGGAGUCUAUCUAUCCUUUAAUUCUAUCUUUGUUGCUUAUUUUUAUAUACUUGGAUACUGGACAUAUACAAUUAACUGUCAUUUCCUCUUCUUAAAUAGACUCCUUUACAGAGGGUUACAGGUAUGUGUCACCUUGCUUGGUCAUUAUAAGUUAUUGACAAUGAUAAAUUUUCCAAAUCCAUACUAUAAAGCCUCAAAAUAGACCAUUAAACAAGUGGAAAAUUAUAACUCAAUGUCCCUUAUGACUAUAAAUGUAAGCUAGAAUCUUUCAAAAGUACACAUGGUCCAGCAGCCAACUGAAAUGAUUGUUCACCAUGAUUAUGUAAGAUUCAUCCCAGGCCUGCAGGAUGAGUCAACAUAUGGAAACCAAUAAGCAUGAAGCACUACAUCAAUUAGGAUGAAUAACAGAAAUAUGAAGACCAUCUGAAUGAUGAAGAAAAGACAUUUGGUAAAUUUAAAUAAAUUGUUGUGAUAAAAAAAUGCUUAACAGAUUGGUGACAGGGUGGAUAUAAUAAAGUCUACAUACAUUAAUGCCAGCGUUAAUUCACACUGAAUGGGGGAAACCGAAAAACUGGAAGGAAAUGAAGAUGCUCACUUCAUCACCUUUAUUCAAGUCUUAGCAGAGAAACAGGGCAAAAGAAAGAAUGAAAGUCAUUCACACAAGAAAGAAGGGAAUUCAGCCGUUACUAUACACAGAUGGCAUGAUUCUACGUGCAGGAAAAUGUCAGUGACUCCACCACAAAUGAUUAGAACUAGUAAACAAAUUUAACAAAGUUAUGGGCUAAAUAUACAACAUACAAAACCUACAGCAUUCCUAUGCACUAAGAGCAAAUGGCAUGAAACAGAAAUUUAAAAAAAGAAAGCCCCAUUCACAGUAGCUACUAAUCUUACACUACCUAGACACAAAUUUAACUAAAGGGGUGCAAAGUCUUCAAAAUGAAAACUUCUGUAUUAGUUACUUUUCUGUUGCUGUGAUAAAACACCAUGGCCAGAGGAACUUAGAGAAGGAAGUUUAUUUUGGCUUAGGGUACUAGAUUAAUAAGAGUCUCUCAUGGCAGGAAGGUGUGGCAGGAAGCAGAAGGAAGCUGAGAUCUCACAUCUUCUAGUGCAAGAAGUUGCUCGAGGUUUUUAAUCUCAAAAGCAGGCUUAACCACCUAAAUCACAUCAAACAGCACCUUUGACUAAGUGUUCACAUUCAUGAGACUCUAGGAGAUAUUUUUUUUCUCCCAAACAGGACAAGUCUAAAACGUUGCUGAAAGAAAAAAAAAAUUAAGACAACCCAUGAUAAUACCUGGAAAAGUCAAUGUGGUUUGUAGAUUAAAUACAGUUUCUGUCCAAGUAUCAAUGACGUCCUUAAAAGAAGAAGAUAAAGAUUUUGAUAAAUGUAUACAAAUAGGCCUGUGUUCAGAAAAUGGUUACAAGAGAAAUCUCUGCACCUUCCUUUAAAAUUUUUUCUGAACAUAAACUACUUUAAAAAUGUUUUAAAAUAGUUGAAAAUGGAAAUUGGAUAAAAAAGACAGAUUUUUUUAAAAUUUAUGCAUUUUUCCUCAAAUUUGAAUAAAAAUCAUGCCUAUUUUAAAAUAGAGAAAAAGUAGAAAAAAUAUUCAGAGAUUUUUGUCACAAAUCUCUUAUGGCUAUGUAAUGAAGUGGUGCUUUUGAAUAAAUAAAUAUUAAAUCUGUGCUUUCGCAUCACAUUUAAUUUCAUAAAUUCCAUAGUGCCAAAGCGAUUAUUUUCCAUACUCAUCAUUGUCAUAAUUUUCUUGCUUAGGCAACUUUUCACUUCUUUCCAGUAAUUUGAAGUAUCACGUUAUUAAAAAUGAUGGAGGGCGUGGUCAAGAGAGUGAAAGUUAUGCUGGUAUUCCCCAAAGGAGAUAGGGGACAAAAUCCCCAUUCCCAACUUGUGAUCUCUAGUACCAAGAAGUUCUGUUUAGAGUGUAUACAACUUUACCUCAUAAUUUCCAGAGAACUAAAGAUAAGCAUGUGUCAAAAUUUUACCUACUUCAUUGAAGAGGGAACUAGCAACUUGGAAAGGCAAGCUCAAAUUACAUUGGGAAGAACACAAGUACUUUUGGCAGAGAGAAAAGCAGACUUCAAACCAGAAUGCUAAUUUAAAUACAAAACCGGUGUAGACACUGAGCGCUCUCAGGUCAGCCAAUCUAGCUGAAAGAGUGGACUCAAGGUUCAGUGAGACAGCCUAUCUCAAAAAGAUAAUGAAGUAUGACGGAGGAAGACAUGUGGUAUAAAACACUGACUGACAAAUAUCCAUGAAUAGGUUAGCACACAUGCAUGUGCAUCACACACACACACACACACACACACACACACACACACACACACACACACACAGAGUCACCCAUGACACUUUUCUUUAUUAUCAUCAAUGCAGUUAGUUUUGAAAGAGCCUUUUCCUACCAGGUGAUUGGAAAUGUAGUUGGUAUUAUUUUCACUAUAAGAUAAUAUAACUUGCUUUCUCUUGUAUGACCAUGUGGUCCAAAAAAAUAGAUGGAAGCAUGGUCACAGGUCUGUAGACCUUUUGCAAAGAGGGAUAGCACCAACUAUUGUGCUCAUAUUUAAUUAUAACUUUAGGAAAGGGAUUCCAUAAUCAGAACUCAAAUCGUCAUAAUUGGUGCAAAUUGCAGCAGCAUGCACUCUAGGUCUUGAGAGAUCAUCUUCCCAAUAAGGCUGCUCCCCUCUGAGAGAGACCAGGAAGGUUAAUGUCCCCUGAGAAUGACCAUUUCCCCACUGUCCACCUGCAACAAAUCAUAGCUCUGUGUUCUGAAAGAACAAAGCCAAACUCAAGCAAAACAAAAGAAAUCCUAGAUUAGGACAUUUUGAUGGUGGUUUCUCAUGUAUGUUAGUUACUCCCAGGAUAAGCACGUAUUUCUUUGUAUUCUGGCUGGCUAUAGCAUUCACAGUUGAUGUACAACAUAGAAAGAAGUUUAAGUCUAAAGAAUGCUGCUAUUUCAUGAGCAUCUUCUAACUUCCAUGGCUGGUCCAAGCAAUUUAUUCACAAGGAGGCCAACUUUCUUCAAAACUUAGAGAAACAAAGGAAUAAAAAUGCAUUUUUUUAAACUUUGAAUUUUCUUAUCUGAAUUUCUAAGUAAAUCCUCAACUGUGGGGCAAGUGGAGGUUGGUCCCGUGGUAGAGGGACAUUGGAGAUAGAGAGCUAAUUUAGAGGUUUGGCUCUAAUGAACUUCUCAGAGCAGAGUAUAACCAUGGGGCUUUAGUACUUUUGUGCAUAUGCCUAGCACAGUUUGUAUAUUAAUAAAUAGCAGAUUCACUGAGCUAAAUUUUUUAAUGACCAACAACAAAAAGUUGGUUUUGACUAACUUUGCCAGAUUAAUGACUGAAUUAUCUUUAUUCUCGAUAGUUUAUGAUGUAGUUGUAUCACUGUUAUAUGAAACAGAUCACUGAAGACUAUUCAAUGAAAAAUAUAUUUAAAAAAAAACUACAAGGUGGAUAUACUGUUUUCUAGAUGUUGAGACGGUCUUCAAAUUUAAAUUU